Long non-coding RNA from Mauremys reevesii (Reeves's turtle), 1193 nucleotides. RefSeq lists it as uncharacterized. NCBI's taxonomy places the organism in Eukaryota, Metazoa, Chordata, Testudines, Geoemydidae. The record is from RefSeq and is a predicted model, not a curated record. The transcript is spliced from 7 exons.
UCAUGCAUCUGCUGUUUUUGCUCAUGUCUGAGACACAGAUCUCAAGAGGAAAAUCUGGAAAAGGACAAAAUGGAAGAAUGAACUGUAGUAAGAUUUGGGGCCUUAUGCUAAUUCUUGCCCAGUCUUGAGUUAAAGAUUUGUGUUACCUUAACAUGUACAGUAACUCCUCACUUAAAGUCUUCCCGGUUAACGUUGCUACGUUGCUGAUCAUUUAGGGAACAUGCUCAUAUAAAGUUGUGCAAUGCUCCCUUCUAAUGUCGUUUGGCAGCUGCCUGCUUUGUCUACUGAAGAGUAUCUCAGUGAAAGUUUUAAUCCUCUGCCAAAGGUUUGGGAUGGAAGCCUUAUUUCUUCUUCCGUAGUAGGAUGCUUUCCCAUACCAGACCGUGAUAACUUUGGCAGGCAUCAUUGCAGUACCCAGGCUAGCAACACGCGGGCAGCUUCAGAACGCCAGCAGCAGCUGUGCUCUCUAUACCGGGGUCGGCAACCUACGGCACGCAUGCAAAAGAGUGGAUUUCUUCAAUAUGAUAUAUUAUUUGCUUCCUUAUCACACACCAGAUCAUUGGGUUCUUGCGAUAGCAUUGAUGCAAACAAAAGAAUUAUUAACAAUUGACCCCUUGUGUGAUGAGAUGAGAUAUGAAAGAACAUGUCUAAGGAAUUGGAGUUUCAGAUACUUCAUCAAACGAUUAACGAGCAACUCCCCAUCUGAUUGGAAGAAUAAAAUUCUUCAGCAUAAUAAACAAAAAGUGAUGGCCACAACUGCGGACCACUCAUCUUAAAGUUUGCAGAAACGUAUUUGUGGCAGAAAGACAUCAAUUCAAUAGAAACAUCACAAGAGGCUAAUGCUGAGUUUAGAAGACAAGUAGCAAUUGUUCUAGUGAAAGAGUCAGAAAGCGUGGAGGACUACUGCAUAUACUGCAACCUUGUCAGUUGUGAAAAGGAAAGUGAGGAUUGCACGAUGGUCCAGUGUGAUUCUUGCAAGAGGUGGGUACAUAUGCCCUGCAUUCCAGAAGGAACAAAUCAUGAAAUCCUCACUGAUGAGGAAAAAGAAUACGAGUGCAAAAAAAAGAACUGAACUAUGUACUAUCAGAAAAAUGACAUCUGUAAAUAGUUGUUGUUAAAAAUGGCUUUGAACAAAAAGCUAACCUUUUAUUUAUAUACCGGAUUACAAUAAAGUUUUUAAAAUUGGAAAAACA